GUGUCAGCAGCCGCGGUAAUACGGGGGGGGCAAGCGUUGUUCGGAAUUACUGGGCGUAAAGGGUUCGUAGGUGGCCUACUAAGUCAGACGUGAAAUCCCUCGGCUCAACCGGGGAACUGCGUCUGAGACUGGAAGGCUUGAGUGCAGGAGAGGAACGCGGAAUUCCAGGUGUAGCGGUGAAAUGCGUAGAUAUCUGGAGGAACACCGGUGGCGAAGGCGGCGUUCUGGACUGCAACUGACACUGAGGAACGAAAGCCAGGGGAGCAAACGGGAUUAGAAACCCCGGUAGUCC
RNAcentral lists this ribosomal RNA (292 nucleotides) under uncultured bacterium. Its description in RNAcentral is "partial 16S ribosomal RNA". It matches the Rfam family "Bacterial small subunit ribosomal RNA", at positions 505 to 796 of the family's 1533-position model. The record is from RNAcentral.